This 255-nucleotide long non-coding RNA is filed under the name Nicotiana benthamiana. RNAcentral's name for it is "long non-coding RNA (NBEN_LNC037048)". The record is from RNAcentral. Lineage: Eukaryota; Viridiplantae; Streptophyta; Magnoliopsida; Solanales; Solanaceae.
AGAGAGAAUUAGCAGCAAUUAACAAGCAGAUGUGGCACAGCAGCAGGAGAAGAUUUUUUAGAAAAAUAGUAGCACACAAAAUGCCCAACAGUGACCCAGCAAUCUAAAAGAUUGAAUGUACAAUACCAACAGCAGCAGCAAACAACCAAAACUUCAAAUCCAAGCAGGAAUAAAGCACUACCAACUCGAAAGAGACUAACACCCUUUGAAACUAGGCUAUGAGAAAGAAUUUUGGAAGCUAUAACUCGACAGUUG